GACGAACGUUGGCGGCGCGCUUAAUGCAUGCAAGUCGAGGGUGAAACAGCCACUCCGUAAGGAGUGACUGUGGAAACCGGCGAACGGGUGCGUAACACGUGAGAAACCUGCCCCCCAGACCGGGAUAGCCCAGGGAAACUUGGAUUAAUACCGGAUAUUCUCUUUGGAUCGCAUGAUCCGUUGAGGAAAGGUCCGCUGCUGGGGGAUGGUCUCGCGGCCUAUCAGGUAGUUGGUGAGGUAACGGCUCACCAAGCCGAAGACGGGUAGCUGGUCUGAGAGGACGAUCAGCCACACUGGAACUGAGACACGGUCCAGACUCCUACGGGUGGCAG
This 332-nucleotide ribosomal RNA is filed under the name uncultured Actinomycetes bacterium. Its description in RNAcentral is "bacterial SSU rRNA". It matches the Rfam family "Bacterial small subunit ribosomal RNA", at positions 28 to 351 of the family's 1533-position model. Lineage: Bacteria; Bacillati; Actinomycetota; Actinomycetes. The record is from RNAcentral.